Molecule: long non-coding RNA, 425 nt
Filed under: Lathyrus oleraceus (garden pea)
Lineage: Eukaryota; Viridiplantae; Streptophyta; Magnoliopsida; Fabales; Fabaceae
Description: Pisum sativum (pea) long non-coding RNA (PSAT_LNC031972)
Source: RNAcentral
CAUAUCGGGGUUCAUUUGUGACAGUUGUCAUUCACUUGGGGUUCAUAUUGGGGUUCAUCUUCGGGGUUCAUUUAUGACGGUUGUCAUUCACUUGGGGUUCAUCUUUGGGGUUCAUCCUUGGGGUUCAUUUGUGACGUUUGUGGUGAUUAUUCACUUGGGGUUCAUCUUUGGGGUUCAUCUUUGGAUAUUUGGUUAAUUUGUUGGGGUUCAUUCUGAUAACCUUUUUCUUUGGUGUUCGCUGGUUAGCGUUUGUUGUUGUUAGGAGUCGGAUGUAAGUCCAUGUAUUGGCAUUUUGUUUCCUUUUGUUUUGUUAUUGUUAGGAGUCGGAUAUAAGUCCAUGUAUUGGCAUUCUGUUUCCUGUUUUUUGUUAUUGUUAGGAGUCGGGUGUAAGUCCAUGUAUUAGAAUUUUGUUUCCUUGUUUGUUG